RNAcentral lists this ribosomal RNA (651 nucleotides) under Acinetobacter baumannii OIFC189. RNAcentral describes it as "bacterial SSU rRNA". It matches the Rfam family "Bacterial small subunit ribosomal RNA", at positions 831 to 1482 of the family's 1533-position model. Lineage: Bacteria; Pseudomonadati; Pseudomonadota; Gammaproteobacteria; Moraxellales; Moraxellaceae. The record is from RNAcentral.
UUUGAGGCUUUAGUGGCGCAGCUAACGCGAUAAGUAGACCGCCUGGGGAGUACGGUCGCAAGACUAAAACUCAAAUGAAUUGACGGGGGCCCGCACAAGCGGUGGAGCAUGUGGUUUAAUUCGAUGCAACGCGAAGAACCUUACCUGGCCUUGACAUACUAGAAACUUUCCAGAGAUGGAUUGGUGCCUUCGGGAAUCUAGAUACAGGUGCUGCAUGGCUGUCGUCAGCUCGUGUCGUGAGAUGUUGGGUUAAGUCCCGCAACGAGCGCAACCCUUUUCCUUACUUGCCAGCAUUUCGGAUGGGAACUUUAAGGAUACUGCCAGUGACAAACUGGAGGAAGGCGGGGACGACGUCAAGUCAUCAUGGCCCUUACGGCCAGGGCUACACACGUGCUACAAUGGUCGGUACAAAGGGUUGCUACACAGCGAUGUGAUGCUAAUCUCAAAAAGCCGAUCGUAGUCCGGAUUGGAGUCUGCAACUCGACUCCAUGAAGUCGGAAUCGCUGGUAAUCGCGGAUCAGAAUGCCGCGGUGAAUACGUUCCCGGGCCUUGUACACACCGCCCGUCACACCAUGGGAGUUUGUUGCACCAGAAGUAGCUAGCCUAACUGCAAAGAGGGCGGUUACCACGGUGUGGCCGAUGACUGGGGUG